RNAcentral lists this ribosomal RNA (484 nucleotides) under uncultured bacterium. RNAcentral describes it as "partial 16S ribosomal RNA". It matches the Rfam family "Bacterial small subunit ribosomal RNA", at positions 30 to 507 of the family's 1533-position model. The record is from RNAcentral.
AUUGAACGCUGGCGGCAGGCCUAACACAUGCAAGUCGAGCGGAUGAAGGGAGCUUGCUCCUGGAUUCAGCGGCGGACGGGUGAGUAAUGCCUAGGAAUCUGCCUGGUAGUGGGGGAUAACGUCCGGAAACGGGCGCUAAUACCGCAUACGUCCUGAGGGAGAAAGUGGGGGAGCUUCGGACCUCACGCUAUCAGAUGAGCCUAGGUCGGAUUAGCUAGUUGGUGGGGUAAAGGCCUACCAAGGCGACGAUCCGUAACUGGUCUGAGAGGAUGAUCAGUCACACUGGAACUGAGACACGGUCCAGACUCCUACGGGAGGCAGCAGUGGGGAAUAUUGGACAAUGGGCGAAAGCCUGAUCCAGCCAUGCCGCGCGUGUGAAGAAGGUCUUCGGAUUGUAAAGCACUUUAAGUUGGGAGGAAGGGCAGUAAGUUAAUACCUUGCUGUUUUGACGUUACCAACAGAAUAAGCACCGGCUAACUUCGUG